RNAcentral lists this long non-coding RNA (3368 nucleotides) under Canis lupus familiaris (dog). RNAcentral describes it as "lncRNA (ENSCAFG00845013903.1)". The record is from RNAcentral. Lineage: Eukaryota; Metazoa; Chordata; Mammalia; Carnivora; Canidae.
AUGUUCUCUGCACACGUGACGCUCUGUCCUCUUGUUCCUCCUGCCCCAGAGCCCCUGCCCCUUCCCCAGAUCUGGGCCAAGGAUCGGUUCAUCACCCCAGGCUGGUGCAAUGUCACCGUGAAGUGUGACACCAUGGGAACCAGGGAGGACCUGACCCUGUCCUGGGAGAGGAAGAGACUCCCCAGGGAACUGGAACAACGAGUGGCCCCAGGACCAGCUCCCAACCCUUGGACCCUGGCUCUGAGCCUGCCUCUCAGCCAGCCCAGGACCAGCCUCACCUGUGUGCUCAGCAACCAAGAGGACCAGAAAACUGUCACCUUGGACCUUGGGGACAUCUGUGGCCACGAUCCACAGGGACAGGCUGAUGCCUCCCAACUACCCAGCAUCCUGGGGACUGUUGUGGUCCUGCUGCUGAUCCUGGGAGCUGGACUGUUCCUCUGGAGGACACGAGUGAAGAAGAGCCUGGAGCCUGGGAGAGGUGCAGGGUCCCAGGAGGAGCACAGGGACCCAAUGGGUGGCAUCCACUAUGCAGAGCUGAGCCAGCAGGGUUCUGGAGACAGCAGGGACCAGGGUAGGGGUGCAGCUCGUCUAGAAGGGGAGACGCCCCUCACUACUGUCUACAGUGAGGUCCGAAGGCCAGGCAGGGCCCUGAUGAGGAUUUAAUUGGAAGAAGCAGGAGAAUCCGGCCCCCUGGGGACACCUGUCUUGGGACCAUGAUGCCUGCAGCUCUGGUCUCACCUCUUCCUUCUCUGACUCCUCUGGUGAGGGACUGGCUGGUCCAAGCAUCAGCUAGUGUCUAUGCUAAGUGGUUCUGCACACGUUCACCAUGAGACACACACAGUGGUAGAGCAAGCGGGAAACUGAGUCCAUGAAUUGGUACCAACAUGUUCCAGGUCGGCUCAGCCUCAGCCCGGACACCCCUGGAUGGACUCUGCUCUCCUCCUCAUCUAUAGGACAGCAAACUACCUUCAGACCCUCGCCCCCUGGACGCACCACUGUGACUCACAGCCUCCCACCGGGACAGUCUGAAGAGCAGCCCGUGGUCAGGCUGGGCCGAGAGCUAUUCAGGGACGCGAUGCGUCCGUGGCGGUCAGCGCCGGCUGCGUGCUGCUCUGUGGCCCGCAUUGCUCUGACCUCGUGCAGGCUGGGACCUCCCGGGCCUCGUGCACACGCCGUGAUGUGGGGGUCUUGUGCGCAGGGUCGGGUCAGUAGAAGGAGGCCUUGGGGGCUGACUCUGGAGGCCGCGCAGCUGGGAGCGCUGGGCCGGGACCCAGCCGGGGGAUCUGGGCUCCAGGGCGUGGCUCCCCAGCCCUCGGCUGUCUGUCCCGAGUCCUGGCAAAGCUCCCUUCUGUCCUGUCCUGCCGCAAAUGGCAGAGCCUCCUACUGUUCAGGAAGAAAUGGAAGUUUCUGGGUCCUACCAGUUAGCUUUUAACAGGCUGUGUUGAUUGACACCUGCCUCCCUCCUUCUCCUGCCUCCGGGAAGGAUGUCCUGGGGUCUCAGUAGGACUUUCCCCUGCACUCUAGAGACCUUCCCUGGGGACGAGCCACCCGUGCGCUCUUCCUCAGAGCAGAGUAACUUUUUGGUUUUUUUUAAUGCCGUUUGCAAUAGUAAAACAGCCAGAGGCGAAAGAGGAAAACGGAUGACAGACAGGGACACACGUGUGCCCUGGAGCCGGGGCCCAGCCACAGCCUGGCUCUUCACUUGCCCCACACCCAGAGGCAGGGGACGGAGGCUUGAGGACACGAGAGGAGCCGAGUCCCCGGGAAGGCCAGAGCCGUGGUCCCCGAGAGCUGCGGCCCUGACCGUCCACCUUAGAGGCUGCAGGAAGGGAACCUCAAUGCUCCACGAUGCAGACAAACCCAGGGGAUGAGACCUGAGGCUCCAUAAAUCUCUCAGUGGAUCAGUCCUUCCACUGCGCCUCCAUCCAGGUGCAGUGGGGGGACCCAGGAGCCUCGGGCACCUCCACUCCCUCUGCCACGUGGCUCCCUUCUGAACCUCCACGUUCGAGGGCAUCAGUGGGACGGACCGACGCUGGGUCCUGGUCGACUCUCCUCCCGCAGAGACUCUCUGAGCCUGUAAAGUUCCUGCUUCCUGACUUGGUUUGCGAAAGCGAACGGAUGGAGCGUGUGUGAGGAUGCAUCUGUCCUCUGCUUGCUCCCCCUUCUCAGCUGCCGCCCCCCGGUGCUGCUCAGCAAUGCUGCUCGCGCUCAGGGCGGCCCUAGUCCCAGGGCUGUUUCUCCCUCAGAGCCUGCGGCAGCCUGAGGGCGGAGGGCGGCCCGGAGCCCCGAGCUGGGGGCGGCACAGGCGUGCCUGGGCCCGCUGGCCCUGGGCUCGAUGGCCUUUCUGUCCUUCAACACUGACCACGAGACUCUUUCCGGAACACGACUUGGUGUCAAGCAGAAUAUGGCAGUGCUGGCUUCAUCAUGGACUCAUUUUUUAAAGAUUUUAUUUAUUUGAGGGAGAGAGAGAACAAGCAUGUGGGGGUGAGGAAGAGGGAGAAGCAGUCCCCCCCAACCGAGUCAGAGCACAGCACAGGGAGCUCAGUCCUAGGACCCUGGGAUCAUGACCUGAGCUGUAAGCAGAUGCUUAAGUGACUGAACCAACCAGGUGUCCCCACGGUGAACUCAUUUUUAUUAAGAAUCAAAGUUGACUGAACUAAGCUACUGUAUUUUAUUUCAAAGAAUAAUUUCUUGGAUUUUCAGCUGGCUCAGUUUGUGACCCUUGCUCUCAGGAUUGGAGUUCAAGCCCAUGUUCUGUCUAGAGUGAUUUGAAUUAAUUAAUUAAUCAAAGGAUGGGAUGCCUGGGUGGUUCAGUAGGUUAAGUGACUUACUUCGUCUUCAGUCAUCAUCUCAGGAAUCUGAAAUUGAGCCCCGCCUUGGGCUCCCCACUCAGGGAGAGUCUACUUGUCCCUUCCCUCUGCCCCUUCCCCUAUUGUGCGCGUGCUCUCUCUCUCUCUGUCUCCCUCAAAUAAAUAAAUAAAAUCUUUAAAAAAAAUAAAAAGGUAACUUUUAAAACAAUCAAAGGUUAUUACAUCACAUCGUUGUAUUAAAGUGUGGGUCCUUAUGAGUCAGUGAGGGAAGCUGCCCUGGACAUAUGUGUGCUCCUGUCCGCCAGGCAGGACCCAGGAUUGCUGGCAGAAGCCUCCAGAAUGCAAGCUCUCCCCCAGCCUUUCAUGGGAUUGGACUGGGUCCUCCUCCUGUAUGUUUCGUGUGUCCAGAAGUGCACGUGGAACAUGAACACCAGGAGCCUGGAUCCCACAAGGACUGUGGCCCCACCUUCCCUCUAGUGGCUGUUCUCAGUUUUCCUGAGAGCUGGAACUCAUCCCUGUUCAGAGCAAAGAGUCUCUUCUGUAGUCUGUGUGUCCUCG